GAGUUUGAUCUUGGCUCAGAUUGAACGCUGGCGGCAUGCCUAACACAUGCAAGUCGAACGGCAGCACGGGAGCUUGCUCCUGGUGGCGAGUGGCGAACGGGUGAGUAAUGCAUCGGAACGUAUCCUGGAGUGGGGGAUAACGUAGCGAAAGUUACGCUAAUACCGCAUAUUCUGUGAGCAGGAAAGCGGGGGACCCUCGGGCCUCGCGCUCUUGGAGCGGCCGAUGUCGGAUUAGCUAGUUGGUGAGGUAAAGGCUCACCAAGGCGACGAUCCGUAGCAGGUCUGAGAGGAUGAUCUGCCACACUGGAACUGAGACACGGUCCAGACUCCUACGGGAGGCAGCAGUGGGGAAUUUUGGACAAUGGGGGCAACCCUGAUCCAGCCAUGCCGCGUGAGUGAAGAAGGCCUCGGUUGUAA
Molecule: ribosomal RNA, 417 nt
Filed under: bacterium enrichment culture clone ALO1_GLFRUDD03GHE9A
Lineage: Bacteria
Description: bacterial SSU rRNA
Rfam family: Bacterial small subunit ribosomal RNA
Source: RNAcentral